Molecule: long non-coding RNA, 281 nt
Organism: Pecten maximus
Lineage: Eukaryota; Metazoa; Mollusca; Bivalvia; Pectinida; Pectinidae
Exons: 3
Source: RefSeq, a predicted model, not a curated record
AGACGCGGAUGUACGCUGACAGGUCCUGAUGCCGAAAGGAGGUUCAAAGUAGCGAUCUUUCAGGCAUUAUACCACUCACUCAUCUACCUGUCUCUACGGAAGAUUCAAUUAAAAAAAGUGCUGCCGUCGAAAGAAUGUAAGUAUUUCGAUGAUGGAAUAAGUAGUUUGAAGAUGGACUCAAAAAUGAAAGUAAAGAGCUGAGAAAGUGACUACGUAAGCACAGAAAGACACUCUAGUCUACUUUUGGAAAUGGCGUCCGGCUCAAACGGCGGCAAUAAACG